Non-coding RNA from Heterocephalus glaber (naked mole-rat), 2339 nucleotides. Lineage: Eukaryota; Metazoa; Chordata; Mammalia; Rodentia; Bathyergidae. The record is from RefSeq and is a predicted model, not a curated record.
CGUGGACCUGGGUGCUGGCACUGGGCUGAAGGGCUGCAAACACCGCCCAAUGGAAACAGGACGGCUUGCACAGUGAAUAAUGGAAGGAAAAUGAGGGGAGGAAUCCGUGAGGUGUUACCCAACCUCUAAGCUGCAUUCCAGCACUGGCAGACCUGGCCCUCCCAAAUAACCAGCUGAUUCCAAGUUUGAUGCCUGGAACACAGACUCCAUCCAACCUCUCUCCCCCUUGGGCUGACUUGAGACUCUUUGUACUCCCCAUACACUCAUCAUGGCCCAUCUUCCGAUGUUCACAAAGUCCUUGAGAUCACCCUAGGAGCCCCUAGCCCCAGUGAUUUCCUAGGAACCUCACUUCACUGUUCUACCUUAUCCCAGGCCACUUUAACACAGACCUGAUUGUAUAGAUACAAGUGCCUCCCCACCACCAGCAGCUUAGGAACAGGUGUGCAUAGCAUACCCUAUCCUUCUCAGAACCCAACAAUUGCUAUCCCCUGUCUCUGAGACCCAAAUCAUCCCCUUUACACAUAAGAAAGACAUCCAGAGCCAUGAUGAGGCUGGCUCUGCAUCACCCAAGUCGCACAUCACUUUCUUAAAUCCCACGCCAACACUUUUGUACCCUCCUACCUGUCCUACCAGAGUGUCCCUCCAGCCUCUGAACUUCUGCCUCUUCCAAGUACUUAAAGUGCCUUCUCAAACCUCAGCCACGGACCGGCACACCCACCAGCUCCCAGUACCUCCCCAGGAGCAGGGGCUCCAGCUCCUUCAGGUCGCUGAGGGUUUCUGGUCCAACACUCUGGGGUGGUAAAGGAUUUGAUCUCAGUAACUCAACUCCACCCCUGCAGAGCUGAAUUCGCAGUCCUUUUUCUCCACAACCAUCAGAGCUCCCACCUGGACGAUCGCACGUUUGCAUGAUCUCUUCACUCCAUUAACACCCCUUCUAACGCCCACACAAUCCAGGGAAAACACUUAUCGAUCACCUCUCAACUCUCCCCGCUCCUCACUCACCGCUCGGAGUGCAAGCAAAAACCAGAUUUCUUCACGACUGGAACUGCGGUAGCUACUCCAGAAGUUGGAGAUUUUCCUUGACGACACUUACCCAAGACUGCGGAAUCUGCGCAGGCGCCUCGAGCCUGACCUGUACGCAAGCGCAGAAGUAAGCAGCGAUGGCGUAGGUGGGGACUUUUUGCGGAGAGCCUCUGGCUACGGAGCUGUGGCCUUUGACCCCCACCCUACACCUUUGAUGCUCCCGAGCCGAAGAUGCUGUUAGGGUGAAGCGGUCUUCACAGAUUAGCUCCCGAAGACGAUGAUGACGCUACCGCUACCUCCUGAGUGUUUUCUGUGCCUCAAAGAGGUUUUCUUACUACCCAUCCCCCGACAAAUGACCCUGAGAGCCAGAGGUUAAGUAAUCCGUCUGAAUUAUCACGCUAGUCAAUAAUGGGGCUAAAAUUUGAACCCGGGUCCCUGAUACCAUACUGGUGUGUCCUAGGUACUAUGGAAAGAACCCCUAAGUCUUCAGGGAUUCAGAAGGUAAAAAGCACAAAGCCCUAGCAUAUGAUAAGCCCUUUAAAUAGGUGGAAAUUAUAGUGUGUACUUAAUUAAAAGAAUUACUUGCGCCCCACAGGACUGCUGAAUCAGUCUCCAGGGAUGGGGUUGAAAAUCUAUUUUUAAAACCAUCUCUAGCAGUUCUUAGGAGCUAGCAGGUUAGAGAAAUAUUACUAGCUUUCCUGUACUACUGAAUCUUCAUUCCUGCACUACUGAAUCUUCAUUCCUGCACUACUGAAUCUUCAUUCCUGCAGCCCUGAGAGGUCCAGCCUGCAAUUCACCCAGCACCCUCCACUCAUCUUAGUGCCUGGUGACGGUGCAUCAAGGUGAAGGCUGGGCCGGGGAUUUAGCUCAGUGGUUUCGCCGCCUUCCACGCAAGCUCAAGGACACGAGUUCGAUCCCCGGUACCAAAAAAAAAAAAAAGCCGGAGGCUACAGGAGUUCCAGGUAGGAUCUGGAGUCACAAAUCACAGACUAGAGUGCAAGGGUAGGACACCAUCUACCCCAUGCCACACUAGGCUGGAAAUUCCCUGAGAAGACUCAACAAAUAUUAACUAAUCCUUCUAGAUGCUGGCACUGUGCUAGUCACAAAGGGGAAAAGAUGCUUCAUGUAAGUGGCCAUCGCCUUCAGGCCUAGGAGGAAUGAUCACAGGAGCGACUACAGCAUCUUGGAGCUAAAUCUAGGAGAGAAAGGAGUCCACACCAGGAACACAGCCCAGCAAAGAGUGGGGAGGAAGGACUGGGAAGCCCCCCAGGGCGUGGACGUGGGGACAUGACACUUCCCAUUUACCAACACGUGGU